UACGAAGGGGGCUAGCGUUGCUCGGAAUUACUGGGCGUAAAGCGCACGUAGGCGGAUUGUUAAGUCGGGGGUGAAAUCCUGGAGCUCAACUCCAGAACUGCCUUCGAUACUGGCGAUCUCGAGUUCGGGAGAGGUGAGUGGAACUGCGAGUGUAGAGGUGAAAUGCGUAGAUAUCUGGAGGAACACCGGUGGCGAAGGCGGCAUCCUGGACCAACACUGACACUGAGGAGCGAAAGCCAGGGGAGCAAACGGG
Molecule: ribosomal RNA, 253 nt
Filed under: uncultured bacterium
Lineage: Bacteria
Description: partial 16S ribosomal RNA
Rfam family: Bacterial small subunit ribosomal RNA
Source: RNAcentral